AUGAAUUUUUGGAUGGGGAAGGUACAGAGUAAGAAUGUUCCAGCCUAUGAUGGAGCAAUUUUUCUGUGCAACCACCUGACCAGGAAGGAGUGCUUCCACAGAAAGCUUUUUGGCCUUUCGUCUAAAUGUAUUGAGUUUAUACAUAAAGUGAAAUCUGGCGCGACACUAUUCCUGUAUGAUGUUGAGCAACGUAAGCUUCAUGGGGUGUUUGAAGCAACUUCAGAUGGAGCCAUGAAUAUCAUUCCUGGUGCAUAUGCCUCAUCAGGGUUUCAGUAUCCUUGUCAGUGA
RNAcentral lists this ribosomal RNA (288 nucleotides) under Triticum aestivum (bread wheat). RNAcentral describes it as "partial small subunit ribosomal RNA". The record is from RNAcentral. Lineage: Eukaryota; Viridiplantae; Streptophyta; Magnoliopsida; Poales; Poaceae.